UAGCAGUAUUUCCUUAUGAAACUAUUCCUCAUCGUAAAAGCUUGAAGAAGGUCUUGAAUUGAAUUUAUACAGAACGGAAUCGAAGUCGGUACCAAAUAGUUGUCCCACUGAAUUCUUUGAAGCACUCAAUAAACGGCUUU
Molecule: long non-coding RNA, 140 nt
Organism: Aedes aegypti (yellow fever mosquito)
Lineage: Eukaryota; Metazoa; Arthropoda; Insecta; Diptera; Culicidae
Exons: 3
Source: RefSeq, a predicted model, not a curated record